AUUGAACGCUGGCGGCAGGCCUAACACAUGCAAGUCGAGCGGAUGAAGGGAGCUUGCUCCUGGAUUCAGCGGCGGACGGGUGAGUAAUGCCUAGGAAUCUGCCUGGUAGUGGGGGAUAACGUCCGGAAACGGGCGCUAAUACCGCAUACGUCCUGAGGGAGAAAGUGGGGAUCUUCGGACCUCACGCUAUCAGAUGAGCCUAGGUCGGAUUAGCUAGUUGGUGGGGUAAAGGCCUACCAAGGCGACGAUCCGUAACUGGUCUGAGAGGAUGAUCAGUCACACUGGAACUGAGACACGGUCCAGACUCCUACGGGAGGCAGCAGUGGGGAAUAUUGGACAAUGGGCGAAAGUCUGAUCCAGCCAUGCCGCGUGUGUGAAGAAGGUCUUCGGAUUGUAAAGCACUUUAAGUUGGGAGGAAGGGCAGUAAGUUAAUACCUUGCUGUUUUGACGUUACCAACAGAAUAAGCACCGGCUAACUUCGUG
RNAcentral lists this ribosomal RNA (483 nucleotides) under uncultured bacterium. Its description in RNAcentral is "partial 16S ribosomal RNA". It matches the Rfam family "Bacterial small subunit ribosomal RNA", at positions 30 to 507 of the family's 1533-position model. The record is from RNAcentral.